AGUGAACGCUGGCGGUAGGCCUAACACAUGCAAGUCGAACGGCAGCACAGUAAGAGCUUGCUCUUACGGGUGGCGAGUGGCGGACGGGUGAGGAAUACAUCGGAAUCUACUUUUUCGUGGGGGAUAACGUAGGGAAACUUACGCUAAUACCGCAUACGACCUACGGGUGAAAGCAGGGGAUCUUCGGACCUUGCGCGAUUGAAUGAGCCGAUGUCGGAUUAGCUAGUUGGCGGGGUAAAGGCCCACCAAGGCGACGAUCCGUAGCUGGUCUGAGAGGAUGAUCAGCCACACUGGAACUGAGACACGGUCCAGACUCCUACGGGAGGCAGCAGUGGGGAAUAUUGGACGAUGGGCGCAAGCCUGAUCCAGCCAUACCGCGUGGGUGAAGAAGGCCUUCGGGUUGUAAAGCCCUUUUGUUGGGAAAGAAAAGCAGCAGGUUAAUACCCCGCUGUUCUGACGGUACCCAAAGAAUAAGCACCGGCUAACGUCG
Molecule: ribosomal RNA, 490 nt
Filed under: uncultured bacterium
Lineage: Bacteria
Description: partial 16S ribosomal RNA
Rfam family: Bacterial small subunit ribosomal RNA
Source: RNAcentral